Molecule: transfer RNA, 71 nt
Filed under: Marmota monax (woodchuck)
Lineage: Eukaryota; Metazoa; Chordata; Mammalia; Rodentia; Sciuridae
Description: tRNA.Ala
Source: RNAcentral
GGGGUUGUGGCUCAGCGAUAGAGUGCUCACCUAGCACGUGUGGGGUGCUGGGUUCGAUCCUCAGCUCCACA